Neofelis nebulosa (Clouded leopard) is the source of this 372-nucleotide long non-coding RNA. RefSeq lists it as uncharacterized. The record is from RefSeq and is a predicted model, not a curated record. The transcript has 3 exons. NCBI's taxonomy places the organism in Eukaryota, Metazoa, Chordata, Mammalia, Carnivora, Felidae.
UUGGGUUCUCCUACCCUCUUCUUCUCGGGUCUCAUCUGCCUUCAAGGAGGAGAGGCACAGGGAUAUGAAGUAUGCAACCCGUGGACCCAUGUACAUGGUUCUGCCUUAUUCAAAAAGUGCAAUUUUGAAAAACCCACAUCAAGGUGAAGACGUGGAUUAAAGUCCAGACCAGGUGGAGAAUAGCUACCCAGCGUUCGGAUCACCUGCCAGCCAGCCGGCCGGCCAACCCAGCCUGCCAGAUGCCUCUUGCCAAUGUUAAUGAUACCCAAGACACAGAAAGAAAUGGAAUCCUGCUGAGAAGUCUGCUUCCCAAGACAUUGUGCUAACAGUUUUCAAACUUUACCCAAGCAAUGGUUCCCAGGAACAAAAGCU